Long non-coding RNA from Haplochromis burtoni (Burton's mouthbrooder), 17356 nucleotides. RefSeq lists it as uncharacterized. The record is from RefSeq and is a predicted model, not a curated record. Lineage: Eukaryota; Metazoa; Chordata; Actinopteri; Cichliformes; Cichlidae. The transcript is spliced from 3 exons.
CAUAUCCUAUCAAUGCCUCUGCUCGCUCGGAAAAACCUUUUUCUCUCUUUCUAUUCCCGACUCUGUGUCGCGAAAUAUAUCGCAGAUUACCUAAUCAUUCUCGCCGCUUUUUUAAAAAGCCGUAUAUAGACCAAGUCCUCCUGAAAAGUAGUCGUUAUGUUUGAGGAUAUUUACAGAAAUUUUCAUCUUUCAAUUACAGUCAAGGCAACAGAAUUUCCGAUUUCUUUAUUUUUUCCGAUCAGAUUCAUGUUUUUUGGGAGGGGGAGAUUAGUUGGCCUAUCAAAGCUAUAAUCAACUGUAUUGGGGGGAAAAAGGCCUCUUCAGCUGAGACCAUCUCUUUCAAAAGGCGUGUGUUUUCCACUCAACAAUGCAGUCUGUUCUAUUUUGAAGAUAUCCAGUUUGACUUUCUUUUCUCUCUCUCUCACUCUUUUUUUUUUAUUCCUACAAGCGAUCACUAAAUGCAUUCAGUGACCUGCAGGUUUAGCCUGGACCACGCUUAAAGUUUCCGGCAGUAACUUUGGAAUGAUAGUGUCUGCUUAAGGUCAGUCAAAUGAGGCAAUGUGUUGUUGUCUUUCUGGUCAACGUUUCUCGGGGAAAAGUCUUUUCUUGAAAGUCAAGAUACGGUAGCCAAGUAGUUCGAGGCAGAAGACGCAGGCUGUCGCCGUCUUCCCUAAAAUGCAUGUCUGCUCUGUGCAGCGCUGCUCAGACUCUCAGGCUGUCCGUGUACAAGGUCCUGCUGAUCCGCUCCUGUCACGAAGGAGACCCUGGGCUCCGUUUUUCCCUCAACAAACCACAUUCACAUUGCACACACCGCGCCCGCAAACACAAACCCGCUCAUGCACGCACACACACACACGUCGAUCGAUUUGCAUGUGACUCCGUCAGUGAAUGAGCGAGUAUCGACUUAAAAACAACGCUUGAAAGAGGCAAACCGCUAUGAAAAAUAAAAAAGAAAAGAUGGACAAAGUGGGGUAAAGGGGGGAAAGUGUAGCUAGAGGAACUAAGGCAGGGCGGAGGGAUUGCCCAUUUCAGACAGAGACGUGUCGGAGAAGAACAAAAAUGUCUUUAUCCAGAAGAGGAUUUUAUAAGCACACGACGUUGGUGAAACCCCGUGGAUGUGGCAAGUGUGAAAUCUGUCAAAAUUUAGAAAGAGAGAGAUGUUCCCAUCUGCCGGACACACACGGACCCCACUAGCUGGACUUGGAGCUCCUUUUCUGGGCAGCGCUCAUGUGGAGCUGCCGCUGCCCUUCGUCCGCCGCUCAGCACAGCCCUCUCUCAUUGCGUUUGUGCCUCAAAACACGUUUCUCGACAACCACAAACCCUCUACACCUUUCCCCGAUCCCACCGAAAAGCACACAUUUGUUUUAAAACCGUGCUUUUUUUAUUCCCCCCCCCUCUCUCCACGAUCAACUGCUUGGAGUGGAUCGCUGUCUUGCCUAUUUCUUAUCUUCCAUUCAUGAGGAGGAGAGGACGGACGCUGAUGUAAACACAGGCUCGUGAGGACUCUGAUGCUGAGCGACACUUCUGGAUCCUUCAUCUUCAGCAGAACCAGACUCUCCGCUGGUCGGGAUGAAGAGCUAUAGGCUUCAACAGGCAGCAGACUACUGGCCAACAUCUCCAGGCUUCUUUGAUGUGGGAGGCAUUGCUUACCCCUAUAACUUACAGCCCAGCUCUGCAGGGACUUAUUUUUAUAACCUCCAUUAUUUUCUAUCAUAAAUAUUCAAAUCCAGAUCUUAAAUCCAGAGCUUAGUGAGGAGAAUAGCCAAAAACAACAUGCAGCUCUUCAGCUUCCCCUAGCUCUCGCUCUUCUAUAGAAAAUCAUUAUGAAGAUUAAUACAGAAAUCAAACAGAAUGCUGAGACGAGACUGCAGGACGCAGUAAAAUAAUGCACUCGAGAUGGAAUUUUUGGUCAAGGAUCUCUGGCUUUUUUGUUCUUUGUUUGUUUGAGUAUUUUGACACAUUCUGCAUUUCCUCCUUGUGGCUGUGAAUUAAUAUUUUCAGCUUGAAUAUUAAUCCUGAUUCAGUAGUGGAUUAGUUUGCCAUUGUCCCCUCUGUGCUGAGCCCUAAAUAAAGGCGCUGACAUGGAGAGGAAAUCUAUACCUCUCUGCCCUGCAAACAAAGACCUCUGCACCCAGAGAUAACACAUGUCCCUGCAAUGCAGACCCCCCUGCCUCCAACCACAACUCUACCCAUGUGCUGGAUCCUACCAUCUCCCUCUCACUUUUCUUUCUCCUUCAACCCUCAAUUCCACAUUUCCCCUUCCUCUCACCACUCUCUUCCUCCCCGUCUCUUUCUCUCUCCCCCAGAAAAACUUUGCCAUGGUAGAUUUGCAAGGCAAUUGUGCCCUUAAACCGCGCCUCUUCCUCAGCUUAUACCAUGCAUUUUCCAGAAUUUAUCAAAGAAUACAAUGGGGUUAUGCUUUCACCAUUAUUCUCCAGGCAAGAACAGUAAUUUAAAUGCACCAGUACUACUGAAGCAGGGCGCAGCCCUGCUGUCUCACUAUGGAACAGAGAGAGAUGAAAAUGCGUUACAAAAAACGCACAGCAUUACUUUGUUGACCUUUCCUGUUCUCAUAGUUUACAAACAGCUGUGAAGCUCCUUCCUCUGGGCUCUUUGUACAUCAGAGACUGGGACUGAUGGAGGCACGCCAUGCUUAAAUGAAGGGCUUUUUCUAACUUGCCUCCGUUGUGGCUCACAAACACAAUUUAACAAACACACAUUUACUUUAUUUUUGCCACCAAAGCAGUUGCCAAAGCGAAGGAGGAAAUACAUGCUGAAACAGAUAUUGCGUCCUUUUAUGUAUGUAUACUGUGCAUAUCAUAGCAGACAGUCUAUUUAAAAACAAAAGGAAAAAAAUCUAAACAUACAUAGAUCUCAAAACACCCACCCACACAUAUUACGAUUUAUUUUCCCAUCCGUUGCAGUCUCAUCAGUGGGCAAUUUUUAACCAGCGUUCCAUUUUUACGGCGAACACAACUAAAGCUGUACUGUUAUUUUUUGAUGCCACUAAAUGUGUGCGCCACAGUUCAUCUCAGACUUUGAAUGAGCUCCAAUACACUGUCCUCAAUGACACUAAUCAGCAUGUAACUGCCAGUUCAUAGGAUGAGAUGUAUUGUGCACAGACACGUGUGUUUUAUCAUGCUAUCGUGAAAGCAAACGGGAGCGUCGAGUACCGUGUUUCAAACGGUGAUUCUACACAUGUGCCCUGAGGCUGAAUGCCAGGUGAAUAUUAACAGCAAGCUGCGUGAGGGGUAGAAGAUGCAUAGGACGCAGGAUCACAAGGACACAAAGUUAGAGAUGGAAAAAAAGGAAGAAGGAAGAAAAACAACAGAAGGAUUGAGGUGGAUGAGAAGUGAGGGGAACAUAAAGGGAGCAAUAAUAAAGGAAAGUGGGACUGAAAACAGUAAAAUAUAACAAGAGGAGAAAAACGUGGACGACUGCAACAGACAGCUGGACAUGGACCGGGCCGGUCUGCAGACCUGGUCAGACUGAUGAGAACAGGCAGCAAUAGUGAUGCCAUUAUGUCGUUAAUCAAUCCACUGGUGUCUGCUUGUCUGGGUGGGCAGAUACUCACAGUCUAGAAGGGGUUAAUGGGAAAUCAAUGAGAGGGAUGUGCUUAUGAGCAGGACAAGGGGAAAGAGGGACAGGGGGUAGAGGCAGAAAGGCGGGGAGGGGGAGAUAGGAACAUUGUUUCCUGUGAUAGCAGCAGUCUUCCCAGAUGUUAUCUGUCAUUCAAAGAAACACUCUGGUGACCAGAUGUUUAGGCUCAUCGUGGUGGAGUGGGUACACAUCCUAGUGGGGGAUCAAUAUAGGUCAAGUACAUGGUAAUAUUUAUCACUACGCUGCACACACACAAGGCGCUGAUGUCUCUACAACACAGAGACUUGUGCUGUGAAGAAAACUAUGCACUUGGAAUAAAAUAAAAUAAAAUAGAAAAGCACAGCCUUCUGAUAUGUUUAUUUUUUUCAAGAGGCUAUUUACUGUAUCUGGUGUUUUUUCAUUAAUAUGGAGCUUAGGUUUGACCUGGAUCAGCAAUAUCUCUUUCCUACGUCCAUUAAAAGAAACAAAGGGAGGCGUUGAUUUGGACGGAAAGGUAAAAUAAAUACAGCAAACAUCAGCCAGGGUAGAUCUCCAAAGGCCUGGAGGCAUUUGGGGUGGUGGGUGGAGAGUUGGAAAGGGGGAACCCAGAGCAGGUCCCAGUGCAGUGAGGCUCUUUGUAGUUUGAGCAGUCUGAACUAGCCAGAGGCUUACUGCUCUAACCCAUACCACUCAGAGAGACUGUUUGGGGGAAUUACACCACAGAGUAAUAAUUAAUCAAGUAAAUGCUGAACUGCUUUGAUUUGGAUUACAUUAACAUAUUAUCAAUAAUGUAUUAAUCAAGUACAAAUAAACACCUCUGCAUAAUAGCAUACUUAAGUAACUACGCUUCCACGCUUAACUCAAAAAGUUUGGUGUUGUUUAAGCAAUGAGGAAAACCACAGCAAACUACAGUGGAAGCAGCAGAGUCUCGCGGCUUUGGAAGCAACACCUCUUGGCACUUAACUGUCUUUGUUCAUCAGCUUCCUUUUUCAUCAGCGCAUCAGCCAUUUUCAAGAACUUUUACCAAGAGGUGAAAGAAAAAUUAUGAAUUCAUUUAUUUACUCUUAACAAUGUCAGAAGGCAUCACGGGGAAUAAAUAAACACUGAUGAAGCACUGAAAACACAAUACACGUAAUUUGUGCAAAGCUACUCCAGGUUUGAUUCCAAAAGUAGCUGAGUGGAUUGAGGAGAGAAAAAAAGCAAAGAAAAAACUUAGUCACUUUUAUCAUAUGCAGAGGAGUCGAAUCAGCUCUGCUUUUGUAUUUUCACUUAAAUACAUGUUCUGUUUUUCCCAGAUAAGUUGUGUUGUUUAAAAGCAUCCGUUCUCGCCUAACGCUUUGUUCAUUGGGGGAACUUCAUGCCCAGGGAUUUUCUAAACACAAUUCAUCAAAGUGGAACGGCAGUCUUUUUUUCUGCAUUCCUAAUCCUUUUUGCUGCAGAUGAGAGAUUUGCUGUUCAGACUCAUUAAGAUUAAAGCGUUUUGCCAGAGUUAUUUAAGAAUGCAAAGUUCCAUGUGAGACCUCUCAGAGUUCAGAACAGAAGAAAAUCCUAUUGACACGCUCGGUGCACUGGGGGCUGAUCUUAGCCUAUAUUUCUAUAUUUGGUGUCAGUGAUUGAGUGAUAGCAUGUGAAACAGUUUCCCCCGCUGCAUUUGUGCUUUAGAGUUACAAUCACUUUUCCGUUCUUACAAUUAAAAGGUAACGGGUGAGCCCCUUUUUCUUCACUUGUAAAAUUCAUUUGGCUGCUUAUGCACCUAUAAAAACAUGUGACUAUACCAUCUGGUUUUAAUACGAAUGUGUAGUUUAUUGGCUUUGAUAACUAAAUAUAAACUGGCAGACAAAUUAGUUGUUUUGCGGUUAAGGGAAACAAUACAUUAUGGUCAUAGGCUGUAAAUGUGCAGUUAACUAGGCAGUAUUUAGCUUUCUGGUGUUAUUUUGGCAGCAGAGUUUGGCUGGGGUGAAAUUAUCAGUCAUCUGGUUGGACAGACAACAGUUAACGUUUAGCUGGAGGUGAUGGCAGUCUUUUAGCUGAAAAAGAAAUUAUCAUUGGAUCGGACUGAGUGUUAGUCUUCUGCCUAAGGAUUUUUAAUAUUAGCCUUUUUGGCCAGAGUCUCAGUAGUCUCUUGGCUGUGCUCUGAAGCUCCUUUCCCAAACUUUCCAACUCCAAGUGUCGCAAUCUGGUUCCAUUUUACAGCUGGCCUUGAGAUUGUAACAGAGCUCCUUUCUCUCCCUCCUCAACCACAUAUUUAAUCCCUGUGCUUAUGUCAAACUUAAUUACAGGACCUUGUACGAAAAAAUAACAAGUGAGCCUUGUAGGGGUGAGAGAGAGAGAAAAGAAGAGUAUUAAGAGAGGGAUAGAAAAAGAGACACGGGGAGAAUGUUAAGAGGUGUGAGGAGGAAAAAGGAACAACAAAGACAUUUAAUCUGUAGACUCAGCAUGCUAAAUGACCAAACAAAAAGCUUUGAUCUCAAGUACCUCUUUUUAGUUGAUGCUGGAACAGGCCCAAUCUAAGUCAGCACAGGCAUUUAAUUCAUGAGCUCUCAGUGGCCUAAAACACCCCCACCCCCCCAAAAAAACACUAUGUGAACUAGCACAGCGCAAGCAUAGUAUCUGCUUUGCAUCUACUGUAUACAUCUAUAAUGGAUAACUGCUUUUCAAAGACGCACAGGCUGUAAUGAUAAGAAAGUGACCCGCGAGCGCCCACAUUCAUAUCCUUUCAGUGAAAAUCCAGCAAAUUCUCCAGAAACCCCCCAAAUCAAAAAAAAAAGAAAAAAAAUCAUUAGACUGAGACAGUCAUUCAGCUCGUGCACGUGUGCGUUUGUGCACCUAAAACUAUUUACUCUGUAGAAGUGGAACAGCUGGGGAGAGAGAUGUUUAGUCUGUCAGUUUAAAACUAUUACCUCAAACUCUGAAAAUAUGAGCUGAGCCUGUCGUGCAUCGACACAGGGAGACAGCACUGUGAAGAACAAACCUUUGAAAAGUCUAAAUCAAUUUUUGGGGGAGUAACAUAACAAACGCUUCAGCGCAGUGAAGAAAAGGGGAUCUCUUUUUUUUAACAGUUUGAAAAGCACAUAUUCAUACAAUCUUCAUAAGGCAAAACAGCAUAAAUGCAGUAUACAUGAAGCCUUUUGAAAAGGAAGAUGACAGUGCAGCAGAAAGGGAAGAGACACAGGGAUACUCCUCAGAGAUGCAGACAAAACAAACAGGAAGACCAUCACUGCUACAUACAGAGCUCCAUACUGUUUCCCUACACCGUUCACACUCAACACACCUCACCACCCAUCUACCCACCCGUCCACCCUUCGGGGCAGCCUACUGACUAAAGCCUUCCCAGACUGGACUUGAGUGGUCAAGCAAUGGGCUACAGGAGGGAGAGUUUCCCAUGCCACUGGUGCUGGAACUGGCGCGCCACCCGGAGGUAUUUAUAGCAGGCCAGCACUAAAGGGCCGGGAGAGAGGGCAUGCUUGUUUUCCUUUCCAUUCCCCAGGCACUUUCACCAGGCCUCACAUGUGGGUGUUAAAUAUAUAUCCAAAUACUGGGAGCAGCAUUGUGGGGGCAGAGAACAGAAGGUAGUGGGCUCCAUUGGAAUUGGAGGGAGUUGGGGGUGGAGGGGUGCAGUGAGAGAUGGAGAACUGAGAGAGAAGGAUUGGGAAAACAAGUCUGAUUUGUGGGGAAAGAAAGAAAGAAAGAAAGAAAGAAAGAAAGAAAGAAAGAAAGAAAGAAAGAAAGAAAGAAAGAAAGAAAGAAAGAAAGAAAGAAAGAAAGAAAGAAAUUGGCUUUUGAUGUAGUGAAAUUGCAAAAUGUGAACAAAAGAAAGGAAGACGAAUAAGUUUGUGUGGGCUUCCAAACUCAAAUGGGCCUUAGACACACAAGUAGGCUCACUGCCAGCUCCAGGAUGCAGUCUACACCCAGACCAGGAUCAGUAGUGGCUGAACUCAACACAGAUUAUAUGUAGACUCCACAGCGGGGGGGAUAGUGCAGACAAAAUAAAGGGACAUUUGCAGGGAGGUGGAGUGGUCCUCUUGUUGUGGCUUCCUUAACUUCAAACAAUAUCUGGCUGCAUCCACUAUAGUGGAAAUACACAUCAGAGUAUGUAUACAUACUCUGAUGUGUGUCUCUUUCUAUCGCUCUCUCUCUCUCUCCUUCUGCAUGGGAAUUCCAGAGUGACAUUAUUACUAUGAUGAAAACAGACCCCAUAAAUACGGAGCACUAUGAUGAAUAUAACAGCGAUUAUGGGGGCAGCGAUAAUUAGAUCAGGAAAGAAAAACUCAUUGAAGUUUUCUCUGUUUUUGUGUUUGGGAAUUCCUUUCAACCUUGUGUCUUAAUGUAUGAGGAAUUACAGAGCCAACGGUAGCGGGGUAAUCAUGUGGGUCUCUAUGAGGGCCUCUUGGGGCCUCUUCAGUGAUCCUCUCUCCUGUUUUAGCUCUCUGCUCCCACUCACAUCUCGGUAAAAGCCACCCUGCUGUCUGCUUUUUUAAUGAUGGUUUGGCCAACAAACAAUUAAUAGGCUGCCCCACAGAUGCUGUUAAAAAUGAAAUAGCAGGAGCGCUCCCAAAAGAGCCCAUCCAGCAACUGCUGCUAUCUUUCCAUCCAGGUUUACUCAUCAGGUUUUAACCUCUUCAGCAGCUCUCUCUCACCUACACAGUCUCAGCUUAGAUCUUUAAGCCCUAAGACUACAGCUUUAAAAACACCCUGACCUGAGCCUCUGUCCAAAUCCCAAAUGUACAGCAGCCAUCCCACUAGCUGACUGCGUCAGAAAGAUUCCACCAUAGCCUCUGUUUUUUCAUACUUGUGGGAAAAUAGCAGUUCAUGUUUCCUUGGAUGCUUCACACAUUCCUCACCCUGUCUUCACAUUGCAGGGCCCCAGAGUAAGGGUAUGGCCAGAGCCACUCGAGAGGAGGUGCUUGGCAAAUAAGAGGUGUGGCUAAAUGAAAAUGGAAGGGAAUUUUUUUGUGUUUAUUUAGGAGGGAGUUGCUAGGCGAUGGGAACUCAAAUAGGCACUAAUUACAUUUCCCUGAGUUUGAUGAGUAUAACAGAACUUGGACAGGAACUUUGGAGCUCAUUUAACUUCUCAGAACACAGCUGGGAAUUAUAGAUAACAGAACAUCUGGAAGUCACAAAAAUACUUCUCUAGCGUCUAAUCCAGACUAAUUCAAAAGCUGCCACAUCCUGCACUGAACGACAACCCAAAGCCAACUCAGUGACAGUUCCAAUAUUACAACUUUUGUAGUAAAAAACAUAGACAUCUAUGAAUGACGUUUGAGUAAUUUGGGCAAAGGUUCAUGCUUUCUAGACCAUACAGCAGCCUCUCCUUAAAAUUGAGCGUUACACUGAAAGGUCACGGAAAAGUACCUCAAAGCACCGACAGUUUACAUGAACUCACACACAGACUGUUGCACUAUGCAGUAACACUCUGUGCUGCAAGUUCACAUAUUUGGCGCAAGUAUCAAAAACACGACUACUUAAGUCCCGUAAUGAAGCUGCAAAAAACACAGCCAAAACACACAAAGCCACUGAGAGAUGCGCACAAAGAAUACUCUACUUGGCCACAUUCGGGAUUGGUCUCAUCCCAAAUUCCUGACCUCAAAAUUUCAAGACAAAGGUAGCUGGUCUUGAUUUAUGCAUGCUUCAACACAGAAUGGAGAGAACAGGACAUAGUAGGGAAGAAAUUAAUUUUGAUCCUGAAAACAUUAUUAAUGGUAAUGUUUAAAACAUCAAAGCCCUGGCUGACAGAGACACAGCAUCUUCACUCUGACAAGCUGGAACAGAUGAGCUCACUUGAGUCAGUCAAGGUGAGGCACGGGGGAAAAUGUAAUUUGUCUCUCAGUUGAUUUUCAUUGAGAUUUUGUGGCGAGUAUGUGGUUCAGAAUAGGUCAAAAUCGUGUAGCUUGAAUAUGUUCUGUGGAAGGACUGACCGUGAUAUAAAGGACAGUACCUUCCUCUCUGCCAUUAGCUUGUGUGUUUGUCUUUGUGCUAUUAGUUGGCAAUGGAUACUCAGGAGCUGGUAGUUUCCUUUUAGACCAGCUGACUAAACCCACCCCAUGCAGACCACCAGCUAGAACAUAUGAAUCUCAAGUUCAUAAUGACUGACUGAGCCAGAGAAGAGACCAUCCUCUUUCUGUGUGGACUUCUCACUUUAGCUUUGGGCAAAGGGAUAAAGCUUCUCUUACUCCCACAUGUUCAUUUACCCCCCACCAUCACACCAAUUGAACCAGCGAGUCUGGGGGUAGUCACAUUGAUAUUCAACGCGCAUCUCCAUCCCCCAGCCACAGCCAUCCCCACUGGAAACAUUAUUUCAUUACAUGUAUUAUGCAUUCAGCAUAAGAGAGCUGGUGAAUGUGCAGUGUGCAGAUGCUUGUGUGUGGGUGCGGGCAGGCUCGGAUGUUUCCCUCUAUGUAUACAUGGUUGUGACAUGCCUGUUGUAAAAAGAGUUUUAAAGAGGGUGUAAAAAGUUAUAAUGCCUCAGGGAUGCAGCAUUAAUGGUACUUGGUUUACUUUGUGAGCACCAAGACAAAAUAUUUAUUCCAUACUAUUUGUGUCAACAUUAGAAAAAGUGAUUUUGCAAGUUUUACAGUGUAGCGGGACAAAGUUCCCCGCAGAGACAGAAUGAGUUUCCUCAGUUCAUCUGAGUAUGUGCACCCACAUGUGAAUGUAUACUGUGCCUCAUGCAGAGAAGGCGAUAAAGAGAUAGACAGAGAGAGCUGAGUGAAACAGGGGAAAGAGACCAGAAAGAGAUGAAGAUAGAGAGACAGACAGACAGAUCUUUCAUAUGGCCCACUGCUCUUUGGGCCCUGAUCCAGAUGUCACCAGAACAGUUUUUAUUUGUUAAUGUCUUGUUUUAAAAGCCCCCUUAAAAGCGCCUGCCGCUUUCCCCUCAAGUCUUUAAGUGGCUCGACACAGUACACUCUUGUCUGAUCCUAACUGGAAUCAAUUUGGAAAGAAACCAUUUCACCUCUGAUUAAGCACUGCUCUGUCUCUGCUGUGGCAUGCUGACCUUUCCAGAGGUCUGUCUUAUGCUGCUAGGAGGAGCCAACCAGAUGAUGUGCUAGGCUAAUUAGACUGAUUGACGUCAGCAGGCCUGGCAUGAAAGUGGUUUGUAUUUGAACCUUCGGCCAUUUGUCAGGACUCACAGUCGCAUCUCUGUCAUGGGCUCUCAGUGUCACAAGUCCGAUUCAACAGCUAAUUUCAUUUGUAUAGUGCACUACUGUACACCCAGUCACUCUUUCUAAAUCUCCCGUCACGUUUUUCCCUUUAAUUUUCAUACAUGAAUAAUCCUUUUUGUCUGACACGAGAGGCAGUCAAAAGAGCGACACCUGCCUGUUCUCUUGUGAUAUAGUGAGCCUAGUGUUCCUGCCCCCCGUGUAUGUUAAGCAAAACUUUAACUAUGUUCAGUUUAGGGUCAAAUAUAGACUCACACCAGGCCAGUAGGGCACCCAUAAGCAACUGUGCCAAAUUCCUUUUUGAUUUCAGUGUCUUGGAUGCGGCUGCCCUCGCACACAGCCUCUCUGUGUGACCCAUGUAAUCGUCAAGCAUUUCUCAUCAAUUCAUCCCUCUCGCUCUUUUCUAAACUCCUGCUAUGAAGCUGCAGUCCUGGCAGUGUAGUGCAGGUUGAACAUCUGUGUGUAUCACGGCCUUGUGUAACACAUAAAACAUGGAAGUCCCAAGAGCUAUAAAAUCUUGCAAACCCACAACGCUUUGAGAAGAGAGUUCAGAGGCAAGAAGUCCACCAGAGACCGGCCCUCAGUCCAAAUUCCAAGCACUUUGCCUCAUACACCCUGAGAAACGUUGCCUAAAGAGAGGCCUGGUAGAGAGAAACCUCACCUCCAGUUCAAGCGGAUUCCUCUGCCCUUUUAUUUGCUCUCGUUUGGCUGCAGGGGGAACGUGCUCCACUCUGACCUGGGGGCACUCAUCCAAUCAGCUCGCUAUCUGCUGCAAGGGCCUCCAUAAUAGUGACAUUUUUCCACCUCGUCAAUAAAGUGGUGAAAGCCACCCUCCACCCGCUACUUGACCAUUUAACUUCUUCCUGAAAAGGCCCUUUCUUUCUGUCUGUCUCUGUGCCUGGCUGAAAUCAAUAAAAGCAGAGCAAGGAAAGAGGCCAAUCCAGCAGCUGCAUUAACUGGUGGUCUCAACGGCUGUACAAAGAGGAUGGCUGGCAGAGAAAAGGAAACAGGAGAGCGGGCAGCUCAAGUCUUUCUCAUUCAUACAACACUGAGAGAAAUCUGCUUAUUACCAACACUCGGCGUUGUCGUCUGGUAUGAACAAGGAGAUUCUGAGAAUGAUGAAUGAAAAAAAUUCACUGCUACGCCAUCCCACACGCACACCCUAAAAGUCAUAAAACUGAAUAAAAACUGAAAACCUGCAUUUAUUCACACAGACUGAAAGGUGACAAUCAUAUGCAACAAAAUUGACAUAUAUAUUAACACAUAUAUAAACUCUGUAGUCUCUAAUGAUCAUUGCUUGCCAUGGCUCAUUUAGUAGCUGCAUUCACACAUCACCACAUGUCUGCAGUGAUUGACAUAAUGGCAUCAGAGUGAGAACAAAAUGUCUUCCAAUAAAGGAGCAGGAGGGAGAAAAUGAGAGAGAUGGGUUACAUCUAUGCCCGUGCUGAAAUGAGUGCAGUGCUUUGUUUGGUUAUGCUGUCUGAGCUGAAAUUGAUUUCUGUGAGAAGCAUGCACCAAAGAGCCCCUGCAUUCAGAUGAAAUAAAUAACACACUCUCGUAGAGAUGGGAGGGUAUGUGGAAGAAGGAACAGAAGGUGAAAAAUGGGAUAGCGGAGGAGGGAAGAAACAAAGAUGGAUGAGGUCAAAAUGAAUUUACAGUAAAAGGGGGUAAAAGAAAGAAAGAAAGAAAGAAAGAAAGAAAGAAAGAAAGAAAGAAAGAAAGAAAGAGCUGAGAUAAAAAUGAAGGGAAUGUCUAAAGGUGGUGGACUGAAUGCCAUGUCUUAAGUCUAGCACAGCAUUGAAAAAGACACAGCCUGGAAGACAUCUGGAGCGGAGGAUAUCAGCCACACACCACUCUCCGACCACAGACAACAUGAUGAGGGAUUAAACUUCAUUACAACAUGUUAUGGUAAUGAAUGGGCUGUGGCUAGUUGUGGAUGUGUUAAGAGUAAUUAUCCUUCUCCAGCAUAUGUGUGAGUGACACUUGAUUGCGAACGCCAUGUGUCUGUAUGUGCAUGUGUGCUCAUCAUAAUCACGGGAAUCCAUGGUUAGUCAACUGGAUAUGGCCUAAAAUAUCCAAGAGGUCUUUUCCACAUUGAACCAAACAGAAGCGAGCUAAUUAAAAUGCAAUGCGGCAAGAAUAAUCUCUCACAAUUAGUUUUAACACCAUUCCUCACCAGAAGAUGAGCUUGGGCAGGCCCAGGCAUUGUGGUCUGGGCCAGCGUUUGGGUAUCUGGGUCCAGGGUUAUUGCCAGAGAGGGAGGGGGACAGACAAAGCCGCACAACCCAGAGAUGUGAGGUUGAAUCUCGGUCACUUCGACUGCCUGUUCUUAUGGCUGACAGAUGUUAGUCUGAUUCAACAAGAUUUGCGACUCUGGAAAAAGUUACACCGCACUUUGCUCCCCGCUGCAAAUUUUAUUCUCUGUGCAAUGAAACAUCUCAUACAUCAUCAUUUAACAAGACAUAAGCAAAAGCCCCUCCCUGGAUUACAAAGUCACUGAUAAACUUUGCCACUUGAAUCUACGGUUGCAAUGCGCUGAAGUAUUUAAGUGUUUGAGCUGGCCGGUCUAACAGUAUAGUGUUCCCUAGUUGAGUGACAGCGUGCUUUUAAAUGCAAAAACACAGAAGCCUGCUAUUGUUGACGUACCGCUGCUAAUGUUGCUAAAGAUCGACAAGGACUGGAAAACUCUUUUAUUUAUCAAAGUGUGAGAGUCUGGAGGGAAUCAAAGGGGAAGUCCUGUCCCCAGGCUGGCUUACAUCAUCCUCUUCACAGUAGAAGAGGGACAUGCUGUGAAUAGGUGUUCCCCACAUCGGCAACCUAUUAGUUCCUCGUGUUUACUAAUAUUUGGAGUUGUGGCGUUGUAAGUGUUUUGUUCUGCGUAAGGGAAACAGACACAAGGCUUCUGUGUUGGCAUAUUUCCCAGAGUGGGCAUGUGGACAUGCAGACAAGCAGGGUGGUAUUAAAUAGAAAGAGUCUUUUCCCCAGGGAGGAUGGAAGAGUGAGAUGACAGUGGAUCAUUAGACUGGUGUUGCCUGCAGCUUGCUAAUUUAUGCAAAUUAAUUUCUUUGCUGAUGCCAAUGCUUCCCAAGCAGUCGACAUCAAAAGCCGAACGGGUUAAACAGCUCUACUCUCCUUUGGUGGUCUGGGACGUUUAGCAGCAUAAGCUAGGGAAGGCUGUGUUAUACCAGGCAACAAUCACACAAAUGCACACUAUGCCAGCCUUCUUCCUGGCAAGGCAUCGGACAGACAGCCAAUCAGGUCCACGCUGGUUCUCUUGUAGACGAAUGGCAUGGCACGCUGGCCCUCUUGUCGCCCCGCCUACCCUCCCCGCUGCACCGCAGCUGCCCAGAAUGAUUUUAUAAACAUUUUGCCAGUGGAUCAAUACCUGUAUUGAUCAACCAUUGUGAGAGUGAUCCGUCUAAAACCCAGAGCAGCCUAGAGCUCAGAGAUGGGAGGAGCGAAAGAGAGAGGCUGCAGAGAGGAUGGAGAAAGAGAGAGAGUCUGCAGCCACAGUGAAAGGGAGAAGAGGUGCAAGGGAAGAGAAGGGAAUCUGAGAGAGAAGCAGAUGCAGAGCUGAAGGCAGGUGGAAGGAAGAUUUCGGAAAACGCUGCCAGGCCGCUGGGAUUGGGGAGAAACCAAUGGAACACCCUACCUUUUUUUCCUCUUUGAAAAGUAGUACUUGGAAUGGUCGGCACUUUUCCUUGGUGACAAAGAAGGCCCAGCACACAGAGCUGUCAUGAAUUCAGGUGAUACAGCAAAAUCAAAACUGGAUAUUCCUGGGAAAUCCUGGACCUCUUGGAAAGUAAAAGUCUGCAACUUGGACACACCCACAUAGGAAGAAACAAUGCAGUUCUAAAAAUCAAAAUGGCUGAAUGAAGAUAGUGUAUGCUAUGGAAAACAGUUUGCAGUAUGGCAAUUUUUAAGUGGUGCGGAUAUAGCUGUCUUUGGGAUUUUAGUUUUCACAUUUUUACAGAUCAUUGGAUUAAAUAGACUUUUAAAAAAUAUUUUAAUUAUGUGGAAAUUUUACAGAAGAGAGGACUUAGUCGACAAAGCUCACCAGCGAAAAUUAAUGAUCGAUUUAAGGCCACAAAUGGCACUGCAGGAGGAGGAGCCAAAAGCUUUUGGGAUCAUCCUCCAAAUCUAAAGGGAAAUUAAGUUUCCAUUGACUGGUUUUAAAUGUGACUAUCUUGCACAUAACUGAGUAUUUGAGAGGAGAUAAAUGCUCAUUGAUACUCAUGAACUCACUAUGCACUGGAGUCCUGAUGUGGAAAAACAGAAAGAGGCCUCUACGCUCUACAGGUUCACUCGUUGUGAAAAAUCAGUUGGACUUGACAAAUGAAUGUGAUGUACCAAGGGAAAAGGCACAUGUAAUUUUGUUAAUAAACUGCAAAAAAGAAUUUAAAAACAUAGAAAACAAUAUAAGUCUCUCUAUGUUUGUGGGACUAUUUCCCUUUACCUGUGGCAGCACUUCUUCACACUAAAACAAAUCUGUUUAACAGUAUGCUGCUCUGGACAGGGUGUCAGGGUGGCUCCCAACAGAGUUCAAUGAAUCUAUGCCAUUUUCUAAUGAGGGAAAAAAUUAAAUCACAAAUGUAUAAACGUAUAUUUUGUAAACUUAUAUGCUUUCAUGUAUGAAUGAAUACAUUUUUUCACUAUGGUGAUUUUAUAUGACUUCAAACAGAUUACACUUUUUGACAAGUGCAGUUGAGGGAUUAUAUAUUGUGGCAGAGUUUGGUUCUGAGUUACUACUUGUAUCACACUUGAACUGGAUUUCAAAAAGCAGAUGGAGUAUUGGUAACCAGGACAUUCAGAUGAUGAGAGGAAAGUUAGCAACACCAGGAUGAGAAUACUUGUAUCAGACUUUGUCAAUAUACGUAAUGCACACAUUACAUGUCCAGCAGCAGCAGCAGCAAGCAAUUUUAACCACUGCCAUCCAUAGUGCUUUGAGUAAAAAUGUUUCGAUCAGCUUAGGGGUGAAAAAAACAAAACAAAAAAGCUGUCACAGGUCUCUGACAUAUGUGUUAAUAUAAACAAAUGUCCCUAAAGUGACUAAUUAUCACGACACCUAAAUAAAUCUGAAAUUAUAAAGCUACAGUGCAAACUAGUAUAAUCUAUUUAUUCAAGAUAAAUGUCCAUAUUCUUAACAUGAACUUUUUGAGUGGCAAACAGCAAAGAUUCAGGACCUGUGUUAGAACAAUACUGGGGGUUGCACUGGUGGGGGCAUGUUUAAGGUACUACUGCACUAAUAUAAUUGUGAAAAUACAGUACAGCAAAUGCAGGUGGUGUACCAUAUCAUGUGGCAAAACGCUGUACAGGAAAGACAGGCUUUACAGUACAGUUACAAGCUGCAUGUUUUGAAGUACUGCAACAAGACUGUGUGCUAGCCUUUGUUUGACUGGCCAGUGCAAUGCCUUGUUGGAUGACUGUGUCGUCAUUCAGCAAACAGCCCUGUUCUGUUAUGUUGGCAUCCUUCCUGAAACACUAUCCUGGCACCAUUCAAAUGAAUGAAAGUCUUGUUUGCCCAUGCAAAGCUAAAGUUGAUUAGUCAACAACCUUGGCUGGCUAAAAAAAAGUGGACGAAAGAAAGCAGUUGCAAAGGUUAUAAAUUGCACACUUACAUUUGCAUUACCUACUUGUCAAAUAAAUCAGUUUGUGCCAUAAACCAACAAAGCCUAAGACCUAUGAGAUUUAAGCCAGGAGUUGAUCGAUACAGCCUCAAAAUUAGAGCUUUACCCAUUAAACAAUGUUUCAUCAUAAUUACAUAAACAUCCAUCCAUCUUCUUUUAUUGGUUAUAACAAUUAACCAAUAGCUUUUACUUUUAUUGUUACUCUCCUUUUGUCCAUAUCUGCUUAGUUUCAGGAAGAUAAACACUUAAGCCAUAUCAACUCUCUCAAAGAUAUAAUUCAUGUGCUAUCAAAGCAGAACUGGGGUGCUGCAGUCAUUUCCUUGUUUCCUUGUUUCCUUUUAUCCUUUUCGUUUGAUUCCUACUGUCAAAAACAAAUCCUUGGAAGAAUGCCAAACAAUAAAUUAGGGUCUUCAUUAAACACAUCAAAUCUAAAUUACUAUUCAAUUAACAAGGCAGUCAACCUGAACUAAUCAACCAAUUAGGCUGUGUGUGUACACAGAAAAGCCAACAAAAGCGCACGAGUCCCCUGGGAAAGCUGUAAAACACUGCAGAAGAGUGACAGUACAAAUGAGAAGAGACUUGUUUAGCAGGGAAAAGGAGGAUGUGGAAGUGGCAGAAGGUAAAUGUGGCACUAAGAUGACUACGAACCCCAUUCAUCUCUGAGCAAAACAAAUAAAAUAAUUAAAAAUGGAAUAAAGUGUCCAAAAAAAAAGAGUACCAAAGGAAAUUUUAAAAAAUGUGGAUACCUACGAACUUACAAGAUCUGCAACCGACUGUGUGUUUUGAUUGGUAUAUUUUCAGGUGUUUCUAAGCAAUAUUUUUAUUUCAGAAAUGUGUUAAAAAAUAAGGCAUAUUUAUCUUCUGCACAUACACAUAUUAACUGCUCAUAAUAUCCAUGUUAAGCUAUGUUUUGUUAGUUUUAUAAUUUUUCAUUAAAUAAAAGUAUCAAUCCUGGAAGAGUGCUUUAUCAAACAACUCGAUAGUGUACAU